AUACGGGAGGCAGCAGUGGGGAAUCUUGCGCAAUGGGCGAAAGCCUGACGCAGCAACGCCGCGUGGGUGAUGAAGGUCUUCGGAUCGUAAAGCCCUGUCGGAGGGGAAGAUGUGCUUGCAUGCUAACAGUAUGCAGGCGUGACGGUACCCUCAAAGGAAGCACCGGCUAACUCUGUGCCAGCAGCCGCGGUAAUACAGAGGGUGCAAGCGUUGUUCGGAAUUAUUGGGCGUAAAGGGAGUGUAGGCGGUUUGUUAAGUCUUCUGUGAAAUCUACGGGCUAAACCUGUAACGUGCAGAGGAAACUGGCAGACUUGAGUGUCGGAGAGGAUAGGGGAAUACCCAGUGUAGAGGUGAAAUUCGUAGAGAUUGGGUGGAACACCAGUGGCGAAGGCGCCUAUCUGGCUGACAACUGACGCUGAGACUCGAAAGCAUGGGGAGCAAACAGGAUUAGAUACCCCCGUAC
Molecule: ribosomal RNA, 463 nt
Filed under: uncultured bacterium
Lineage: Bacteria
Description: bacterial SSU rRNA
Rfam family: Bacterial small subunit ribosomal RNA
Source: RNAcentral